RNAcentral lists this ribosomal RNA (869 nucleotides) under uncultured bacterium. Its description in RNAcentral is "bacterial SSU rRNA". It matches the Rfam family "Bacterial small subunit ribosomal RNA", at positions 18 to 898 of the family's 1533-position model. The record is from RNAcentral.
AUGGGCUCAGGACGAACGCGGGCGGCGUGCUUAACACAUGCAAGUCGAACGAGGGCGUCCCUUCGGGGGUGUUCCUAGUGGCGAACGGGUGAGUAACACGUGGGCAACCUGCCCCCGGCUCUGGGAUAACUCCAAGAAAUUGGGGCUAAUACCGGAUAUUCACCGCGCACCGCAUGGUGGGUGGUGGAAAGGGUUUCCGGCUGGGGAUGGGCCCGCGGCCUAUCAGCUUGUUGGUGGGGUAGUGGCCUACCAAGGCGACGACGGGUAGCCGGCCUGAGAGGGUGACCGGCCACACUGGGACUGAGACACGGCCCAGACUCCUACGGGAGGCAGCAGUGGGGAAUAUUGCGCAAUGGGCGGAAGCCUGACGCAGCGACGCCGCGUGGGGGAUGACGGCCUUCGGGUUGUAAACCUCUUUCAGCAGGGACGAAGCGGAAGUGACGGUACCUGCAGAAGAAGCACCGGCCAACUACGUGCCAGCAGCCGCGGUAAUACGUAGGGUGCAAGCGUUGUCCGGAAUUAUUGGGCGUAAAGAGCUCGUAGGCGGUUCGUCGCGUCGGCUGUGAAAACCCGGAGCUCAACUCCGGGCCUGCAGUCGAUACGGGCGGACUGGAGUUCGGCAGGGGAGACUGGAAUUCCUGGUGUAGCGGUGAAAUGCGCAGAUAUCAGGAGGAACACCGGUGGCGAAGGCGGGUCUCUGGGCCGAUACUGACGCUGAGGAGCGAAAGCGUGGGGAGCGAACAGGAUUAGAUACCCUGGUAGUCCACGCCGUAAACGUUGGGCGCUAGGUGUGGGGGCCAUUCCACGGUCUCCGUGCCGCAGCUAACGCAUUAAGCGCCCCGCCUGGGGAGUACGGCCCGCAGGCUAAA